This is a long non-coding RNA of Gymnodraco acuticeps, 626 nucleotides long. RefSeq lists it as uncharacterized. The record is from RefSeq and is a predicted model, not a curated record. NCBI's taxonomy places the organism in Eukaryota, Metazoa, Chordata, Actinopteri, Perciformes, Bathydraconidae. The transcript is spliced from 3 exons.
GAUGUGACAACAUCCGGAAUGACCAGAAACCAAACCAGCCGUGAAGUUUCCCAAAACCGAAGAGAGGAGGAGGCAAUGGGAACUCGCCCUAAGAAGGGACGGUUUUGUUUCCUGUGACAGGACACUGCUCUGCAGUGAGCACUUCAGGAGUGAGGAAUUUGACCGGACAGGGCAGACUGUCCGGCUUAAAGAUGGUGUUGUGCCAACAAUAUUCAUCUUCCCAGCUCAUCUUCAAAGGGGCAGCAGAGUGGGUAAUUCGCCAGGCAUCAGCAGAUUCUAGACGAUCACAGCCCAUCAAACUGCUAGAGGUCCUCUACAUUGUGCGGAAGAGGAUAGGUCCAGAGGAUGUGUUUUUGUUCGGGGAGCACAUUGUCGACACACAGUAUGGCAUUGACAGUCACCACCAUACGCUGUUGACAUUAGUUGUGUCCCUGUUUUUUAAGCUAAGGCUGCAUCACAUUGCAAAAACAACUACUCUGAGCUUACAGAGUGGCAGCAUGAGACAGAAGCUCACAAAAACAGUCCUUUUCAAAGGGCAUUAGCUCCAACUGUGUGUGCACAUGUGUUACGUGCCGUAGUGGGUGCUUGUGUGUCUCCCUCUCUUUCCCCCUGAUGUUUCUUCUUCU